RNAcentral lists this small RNA (749 nucleotides) under Pongo abelii (Sumatran orangutan). Its description in RNAcentral is "retained intron". Lineage: Eukaryota; Metazoa; Chordata; Mammalia; Primates; Hominidae. The record is from RNAcentral.
UUUGCCUCUUGAGGUUGACAUCAUGCUGUCUGUCCCAGUCCUUGCCUUGUCUUUUCCUGGUUCCUCUAUGUUUCUUUCCCCCAUCUUUGCCUUCAGUGGUAGGAGUGGGUUAAUGGAGUGGCUUCCCCCACACAGAGCCUCAGCAGGGGCUCACCAUUCAUCUUCCCACUUGGAAGCCACAUCCUAAGACCAGAUGCCUUCCUGAACUCCUGACUUCAGGGACAGAAGCUGUUGAAGGAAGGUUCAGAAUGGCUGCUUCUUUGCUCUAUCUGAGUAUUGCUCUGAAAUCCCCAGUUAACCUCUCUGGUCUUUAUUACCUCAUACACCCUGCGUUUUUCCAACUUGUUUUUCAUUUCCACCCAAGACUCUGGACGACCUAGAGGAACGAGUGAAGGAGGCUGGAAUUGAGAUUACUUUCCGCCAGAGUUUCUUCUCAGAUCCAGCUGUGCCCGUCAAAAACCUGAAGCGCCAGGAUGCUCGAAUCAUCGUGGGACUUUUCUAUGAGACUGAAGCCCGGAAAGUUUUUUGUGAGGUGUACAAGGAGCGUCUCUUUGGGAAGAAGUACGUCUGGUUCCUCAUUGGGUGGUAUGCUGACAAUUGGUUCAAGAUCUACGACCCUUCUAUCAACUGCACAGUGGAUGAGAUGACUGAGGCGGUGGAGGGCCACAUCACAACUGAGAUUGUCAUGCUGAAUCCUGCCAACACCCGCAGCAUUUCCAACAUGACAUCCCAGGAAUUUGUGGAGAAAC